UCGUGGGGCAGCAUGAAGUAGCAAUACUUUGAUGGCGACCGGCAAACGGGUGCGGAACACGUACACAACCUCCCGAUAAGUGGGGAAUAGCCCAGAGAAAUUUGGAUUAAUACCCCGUAACAUUGCGAUGUGGCAUCACAUUGCAACUAUAGCUUCGGCGCUUAUUGAUGGGUGUGCGUAUGGUUAGAUAGUUGGCGAGGUAACGGCUCACCAAGUCUACGAUCAUUAGCUGAUGUGAGAGCAUGAUCAGCCACACGGGCACUGAGACACGGGCCCGACUCCUACGGGAGGCAGCAGUAAGGAAUAUUGGUCAAUGGACGAAAGUCUGAACCAGCUAUGCCGCGUGAAGGAUUAAGGUCCUCUGGAUUGUAAACUUCUUUUAUACGGGACGAAAAAAGGUCUUUCUAGAUCACUUGACGGUACCAUAUGAAUAAGCACCGGCUAACUCCGUGCCAGCAGCCGCGGUAAUACGGAGGGUGCAAGCGUUAUCCGGAUUCACUGGGUUUAAAGGGUGCGUAGGCGGGCAGGUAAGUCAGUGGUGAAAACCUGGAGCUCAACUCCAGAACUGCCAUUGAUACUAUCUGUCUUGAAUAUUGUGGAGGGAAGCGGAAUAUGUCAUGUAGCGGUGAAAUGCUUAGAUAUGACAUAGAACACCUAUUGCGAAGGCAGCUUACCACGCAUAUAUUGACGCUGAGGCACGAAAGCGUGGGGAUCAAACAGGAUUAGAUACCCUGGUAGUCCACGCCCUAAACGAUGGAUACUCGACAUUUGCGAUACACAGUAAGUGUCUGAG
This 793-nucleotide ribosomal RNA is filed under the name uncultured Bacteroidota bacterium. RNAcentral describes it as "bacterial SSU rRNA". It matches the Rfam family "Bacterial small subunit ribosomal RNA", at positions 62 to 851 of the family's 1533-position model. Lineage: Bacteria; Pseudomonadati; Bacteroidota. The record is from RNAcentral.